CAAGAUUAUAAGGUGUUAGGAGAUUAAGUAAAGGAAUUGAAGGUUUGUAAAAAGUUAUUCAGAGCUACAAUAAGUGUCCUGAUCCUUUUAAAGAGUGUUGGAACCUGUUAUAAGGGAAUCCAAUGCCACAAAACCAAGAUUAUAAGGUGUUAGGAGGUUAAAUAAGGGAAAUUGAGGUUUGUAAAAAUUUAUUCAGAGGUACAAUAAGUUUCCUGGUCCUUUUAAAGAGUGUUGGAACCUGUUAGAAGGGAAUCCAAUGCCACAAAACCAAGAUUAUAAGGUGUUAGGAGAGAAUUGAUUAUGUAUAUGAGUCUUCUUAUGUAUAAAUUGAUUCUUAAUAGUUUUGCAAAGGAAGAAUGUAUGAAAUAAUGAUGAUAAUAGUGAUGAUAAAAGAGUGAAUGAAGAGAAAGAGAGAGAGAGAGAGAGAGAGAUGUAAUAACCAAAACAAUGUGUGAUAAAGUGAGAGAAUAGAAGGAAAAAAAAACAGGAAGGAAGGAAAAUAAAAAAGAAUAAAGAAAAACAAGAAAAGGAAGAAGAAAAAAGUGAAGGAUAAAAUAAAAUAAAAGGGAAAGAAGAAAAAGAAGA
This is a long non-coding RNA of Eriocheir sinensis (Chinese mitten crab), 585 nucleotides long. RefSeq lists it as uncharacterized. The transcript is spliced from 2 exons. Lineage: Eukaryota; Metazoa; Arthropoda; Malacostraca; Decapoda; Varunidae. The record is from RefSeq and is a predicted model, not a curated record.